UACAAUUGUAUUAGAGUUCUUUGAGGACGUAACUAAAUAGACAUUUUAUCAAAAACAUUUAAAAAAUUCAUCAUGAACUUUGGUUUCCCUUAUCUACACUGCUAGAUCUAACCUUCAAAAACUGAUAGAUUAGUCAAAUAAAAUUUCCAUUCAUAAUUCUGAGUUGACUUUGCCCAGUCAGAGGCUGAUUUGCUGCAGCAUUACCAAGUCCUUGUGAUAUGAAAGCAUUUUUCCUAUCACUGUCUGGCUUAUAGCUCACUGCUUCUUUCUUUCCUUCCUCUCUGGAAUAACAAGAUUAAAAUUGUUACCUUCCAGUCUAUGGUGAUCUUCUAAACUGUGGAGGCUUCUGGAACAUCAAAAUUGAUCUGCUCAUCAUCUUUUUAGCAGGCUUUUUAAACCCCUAUCAGGUCAGAAAGGUUUCAUUGCUUCACUACCAACCCUUUAUUAAUGGUCACUUCUUUGUUCCUCACUCCCAGACAGGGGACGUGGGGCCAUAAAAAUAGACACUUCUAUAAUCGUGACCAUGGAUUUCCAAUUUGUUCUGCAAAUAUUGCCGGGUGUGAUUUCUGUAGAACCACUUACCACCAUGGGGCAGAAUGAGGACCUACCUUUAACCAUGUUGCUGUUUUUGGCUUUGUAGCCCAAUCCUCAAAAUAAAGAAAUAAAGAAUAAUAAAUGCUGGCUGUGUCUAUGAAACCCACAUUCCAUAAAAAUGAAUAAAAAACAUAUUGCAAACCAUGCAAAGGCAGGCCAUGAAACAAGUUCCAAAGAUCAAAGACCCUAGAGACCAGGCCUGGGUGUGCAGGGUUCCAUUUUCUUUAAUUAUAUACAGAGUAAUACAUAGAAAAAUAAUACAGAACUGCUGGUGUGGACAGGGGAAAAUCAGUUACCAUCUGACCCAAAACCAAUGAAAAUUAUGCAACCUUUCCUCAGAAUGACCCGGAAUCCUCAGACUGAAGACAGGACCACCUGCUAGUGUAGUUUUGAGAGGGAGUAUUUUAAUGGAUCUUAAUAGGGCAAGACCCUUUCCACCUCACUUCCUGCCAGGAAAAGGCAGGAGGCUCACUUGAAAGAAACUGGAAAGGUACAGCUUCUUUCUGGAGAGAACUGGCAGUUUUCGAGAAAAUGAAGCAGAAUUUCACUCGUCAUUCCUGAGCUACUCUGGGGCAGCCUAUGGUUCAGACACAGCUCCCAAUGUACAGUCAACAACCUGGGACUGGGUAUCAGCUCUGGGGCAGGACGUGCACCAAAUUAGUGGGAGAGAACUCCAGAUAGGACAUUAGAAUAAAAAGAGCCAAGAAAGCACUUAAAUUUUAAGAAAAUGUUAAAAGUUACACAGAUGAAACACGUGAAUGAAAGCUGACCCUUGGGGCACCAAACAACCUGCUGGGAGAAUGGGUCGAGCAGCAUCUGUGGGAGGUAAGGAAUUGUCGACGUUUCAGGUCCAAACCCUGCACCAGUCUUGAUGCAGGGUUUUGACCCGAAACUUCAACAAUUCUUUUCCACCCCAUAGAUGCUGUUCAACCUGUUGAGUUCUUCCAGCAGUGUGUGUUGCUCCAGAUUCCAGCAUCUGCAGUCUCUUGUGUCUCCAGCUACCCUUUGGGAUUGAGCAGAGCCGUUAAUCUGGCUGAAAGGUCAGUGAAUGCAGCUACAGGUCAUGGGUUGGAAGGUCAGUGAAUGUGACUACAGGUCAUGGGUUGGAAGGUCAGUGAAUGUGAAUACAGGUCAUGGGUUGGAAGGUCAGUGAAUGUGACUACAGGUCGUGGGUUGGAAGGUCAGUGAAUGUGACUACAGGUCGUGGGUUGGAAGGUCAGUGAAUGUGACUACAGGUCAUGGGUUGGAAGGUCAGUGAAUGUGACUACAGGUCGUGGGUUGGAAGGUCAGUGAAUGUGACUACAGGUCAUGGGUUGGAAGGUCAGUGAAUGUGACUACAGGUCGUGGGUUGGAAGGUCAGUGAAUGUGACUACAGGUCGUGGGUUGGAAGGUCAGUGAAUGUGACUACAGGUCAUGGGUUGGAAGGUCAGUGAAUGUGACUACAGGUCGUGGGUUGGAAGGUCAGUGAAUGUGACUACAGGUCAUGGGUUGGAAGGUCAGUGAAUGUGACUACAGGUCGUGGGUUGGAAGGUCAGUGAAUGUGACUACAGGUCAUGGGUUGGAAGGUCAGUGAAUGUGACUACACGUCAUGGGUUGGAAGGUCAGUGAAUGUGACUACAGGUCAUGGGUUGGUAAAUGAGCCAUUUCAGUGCUGAGUCAUCCUUCACGUGAAGAUCACAUGGUCGGGGCUCCCCAUUAGGAAAACAGGAGCUACACGUUCGUCAUUCAUUCUUGGAAAACCAUAAGAUGGUAGCCUUGUGCUUGAUAAAUGCCCCAUCUUUGAGGUUAGAUGCAGAAACAAAAGAGAACAUCAGCAAUAUUAAGUGUACAUUGGGCAUGUAACUUGUUCCCAAUCCCAGGAUGUCACUUUGACCCUCACUCUAGCAAACCUCGUGUCAGUCAGUGUGAGGCUUCGAGGGAGGAGGAGUGAGGAAACAUGUUGUGCUGGCACUGGGAGACACACCUGUAGCCGCUCGUUUGUUCAGUUCAGGGUUCAGGAAGCAAGAACUCUUAGAGGAAGGGCACCGUGAGUCACUGGGUACCACCCUUUGACAAGGAGAGGCUGACUGACAGGAAAGGAGAAGAUGGAGUCCCUCAUUAAACGCACAGUCCUUCAAAUCACAGUGAGCAGGCACGGGGUGGGGGGGGGGGUGAGAUUUUAAAAUAUUUCAGGAGAGAAACUCGAGGAGCAUGAUUCUGAACCUUGGGGAGUUGGGGAAGAAUUCUGACAGAGUGAUGAAUGACAUGGCCAGCCCUCAGAGUGGGGCUUUUCCACGCUUUUUUGACUUGAGAUAAUUUGGAUUAACAUUGGGAUUUCUAAAAAAAGAAACCCAAGGCAGCAGCUGUGUCAACCUUGGAACUUUCCCUAGAACUCCCCUUUCAUAUCUGAGAGUUUUCUAUGGUGAUCACAGGUUCCAGCCUCCCUGCCAGCUUUGACUGGUUACCUUGGCUGCACAGGGCUCCCUGGAGAUGGUUUCCAUAGUGACAAUAAUCAAGGAGCCCUGGGCUCCACAGUUCAGUAAAAGAAAAGCAAAAAGCCUCUUAAACCUGAAAGGGUCAGGUGGGUGGAGAGAGGCCUGGGGUCAUGAACACAGACCGACCUCCACUUACAGAAUCAGGAUCAACGCCUGUGUCCACUGAGCAGGUAGCUCUCAGUAUCUACCCUGUACACUGACAAUGCACUUCCUGUAACAACAGUCACUGCUUUUUGUUUGGUAACUGGCUUUACCAUCAACUAGCCAUUGGCAGGGUUUACAGUGCGAGAUCCCACACACACCUGGCCCUGGUCAGUGAUAGUUCAGUAAUGAAGGGUGAAGUGUAGGACAGAGCGUCUUGGUAGAAGAGGAAGUCGUGGUUUUAGGAAAUCCAGUUAUUGGGGACAAAGACAACCGGCACCUGGAAUAACAUCAGAGAAGUCUUCAAGGGAGGCUGCUGUAGACCCCACCUCUUCACUGAUAUGGAACAGCCUCUUGCCUCCAAGGUGGGAGCCCCAAGAACAGAACGAGCCCGAGUCACUUCCCCCUGGGCUGACUCUCUCUGCACUGACCAGACAAUCACAUGGAUGGUAUUGGGAAAUGCAACUUCAACCUGACAUGAAAAGUUAAUGUAGCAUGAUUCUUAAAAUGUCAGUAUGGAAUGUGACAUUUCCUCAUGCGUCACGUGUACCAAGGCAUUCUUAAAUUAGACAGCAUUUCCCCUGUUAGUGCACGCACAGUCCUACAAACUCUUUAUGGGCAGUACUAAUAA
Long non-coding RNA from Pristis pectinata (smalltooth sawfish), 3840 nucleotides. RefSeq lists it as uncharacterized. The record is from RefSeq and is a predicted model, not a curated record. NCBI's taxonomy places the organism in Eukaryota, Metazoa, Chordata, Chondrichthyes, Rhinopristiformes, Pristidae. The transcript has 3 exons.